Molecule: transfer RNA, 71 nt
Filed under: Candidatus Woesearchaeota archaeon
Lineage: Archaea; Nanobdellati; Candidatus Woesearchaeota
Description: tRNA-His
Rfam family: tRNA
About the family: Transfer RNA (tRNA) molecules are approximately 80 nucleotides in length. Their secondary structure includes four short double-helical elements and three loops (D, anti-codon, and T loops).
Source: RNAcentral
GCGGUAGUAGUUUAAUGGCAAAAUAGGCGGCUGUGGCCCGCCAGUAGCGAGUUCGAUUCUCGCCUACCGCC